GAUGAAGAACGUAGCGAAAUGCGAUAAGUAAUGUGAAUUGCAGAAUUCAGUGAAUCAUCGAAUCUUUGAACGCACAUUGCGCCCGCCAGUAUUCUGGCGGGCAUGCCUGUUCGAGCGUCAUUACAACCCUCAGGCCCCCGGGCCUGGCGUUGGGGAUCGGCGGAAGCCCCCUGCGGGCACAACGCCGUCCCCCAAAUACAGUGGCGGUCCCGCCGCAGCUUCCAUUGCGUAGUAGCUAACACCUCGCAACUGGAGAGCGGCGCGGCCACGCCGUAAAACACCCAACUUCUGAAUGUUGACCUCGAAUCAGGUAGGAAUACCCGCUGAACUUAAGCAUAUCAAUAAGCGGAGUA
RNAcentral lists this unclassified non-coding RNA (353 nucleotides) under soil metagenome. RNAcentral describes it as "partial contains 5.8S ribosomal RNA, internal transcribed spacer 2, and large subunit ribosomal RNA". The stretch from base 1 to 120 matches the Rfam family "5.8S ribosomal RNA", at positions 35 to 154 of the family's 154-position model. The record is from RNAcentral.